Chiloscyllium plagiosum (whitespotted bambooshark) is the source of this 741-nucleotide non-coding RNA. NCBI's taxonomy places the organism in Eukaryota, Metazoa, Chordata, Chondrichthyes, Orectolobiformes, Hemiscylliidae. The record is from the annotation of a RefSeq genome assembly.
UCAGUUACAGGUCGAAUGGGGUUGGAAUUUCUGGCGAGUUGGCAGGUAUAUGUCAGGCUGGUUAUCACUGUGUAUGAUCCACUGAUCUUUGGAGCUGGGACCCAAGUGACUGUGGAACCAAAGGAGAAAGAUGCCACGGGGCCGAAACUGUCGGUCUUCUACCCGCCAGUCGCGUCCGAACAGGGUCUUGUACCUGCGGCAGUCUGUCUGGCCGAUGACUUCUUCCCCAAGACCAUCCAGCUGUCGCUGAAGGUGGAAGGGCACAACCAAACCACCGUGGCCAGACCCGCCAUCGUGACAGACGAUGGCUACUACAGGACGUCCAACUUCCAGCCCGUUCCCAGUGGUCAGAGCAACGUCAUCAUCUGCGAGGCAAAGCACGAGGGCAGUCACUUCUUCGUCAACGUCACCACAGAGAAUGAGGGCGGUAAGUGGCAGGGGAGGGGUUUGGAGACAUCGCCCCCAGCUCCACACACUCCCCAUGUUACCCACUCCACCUCCAGCUCUCCCCCUUCCCUUAUUCCCCAUCCCAUUGCCUCCCCAUCCCCUCACCCUUGUUCCCCAUCCCUUCACCCUCCAUGCCCUCCCCUUGUUCCCCCAUCCACUCCAUUCCCUUCACCCCCCUCCCCUUAUAAGCAGCGGGGGAACUUUCUUUCUCUGACGGUGAUGGGCCUGAGGUUUCUCCUCUUCAAGAGCGUCGCUAUCAAUCUGCUGAUGACUGCCCGGGCUUGGCUUCCCUAA